GCCGAUGAUGAGUGGCUUCGGGUCCGAGGGGUGAGGACACCAGCUAUCGCUGAGG
This 55-nucleotide small nucleolar RNA is filed under the name Thermococcus zilligii. Its description in RNAcentral is "Small nucleolar RNA sR28". It matches the Rfam family "Small nucleolar RNA sR28". Lineage: Archaea; Methanobacteriati; Methanobacteriota; Thermococci; Thermococcales; Thermococcaceae. The record is from Rfam by way of RNAcentral.